AAUUCAACUGUAGAUUUACUCGUAUACAAAAUUCGUUGCAACUGUGAAAAUAAAUUUCUUAAACGACUCGUUUCUAGUUUUGUUUUAUACUUUGUAAAAUUAUAAAUACAAAAGUAUAUUUCAAUAUUCAACAUGAAACUAACAAUUUCUGCAAUUUGUUUUAUUUUGUGUGUUAUUAUUAAUAAUUAUGAAUUGGUUUCUGCUGGUAGACAUCAUUCUAGUUUAAUAGAUAAAUGCAUAACUACUAAAAAAGAAUCAUUGUUAUAAAAAAAAAUUAAAUAUUAUAAAUGUAAAGGUGGAUUUAGAAGAUUUCAAACUUUAGAAGAAGCAGAAGAGAUAUGUAUUAAAGAGGGUGAUGAUGGUCAGUCUCAUUGUUAUGUAUAUAAUCCUCUUCAUGGUUUAAAAAACAAGGAAGAUAUUGUAGCGGAAUGUAUAUUGAAAAAACAACCAUUGUUUUAUAUAUGUUAUGGAAGGUUUUAUCAAAAAUAUCAUACCAUGAUGGAUGCAGAAGAGAAAUGUAUUAAAAAGGGGGAUGAUGGUCUUUACUACUGCAACUUUAUGACACCGGAAGAGAUUGAUAAAGAGGAACGGGAGCUACACCUUUCUUAAUUACGUAAGGGUCCUUAGGGGGAGGGGGGGUUUAUAAAAUCUCUACAUG
Leptopilina boulardi is the source of this 658-nucleotide long non-coding RNA. RefSeq lists it as uncharacterized. The transcript has 5 exons. NCBI's taxonomy places the organism in Eukaryota, Metazoa, Arthropoda, Insecta, Hymenoptera, Figitidae. The record is from RefSeq and is a predicted model, not a curated record.